UUGAUGUUUUUCGCUGCAUUUUUCGGGAUUGUUUGGUUCGUUCAUGGUUUCCCCUUUCUUAUGAGUUUCUUCUAUCUCAUUUCUUUCCGUUUCUGUUUUUGAUUUUGUAUGUUGAUCUGAAUUUUCUAUAAUUUUUUUUUAGAUUUCAUGUUUUUUUUAAUAAUAAGCAGAAACUAUACAUUACCAAAAGUUCAGACUAAAAUCCUAAUAUGUCAGAACACAAGAGCAACAUCAUAGCAAAAGGUAUGCUGCUUUCAGACAAACUAUAACUAACAAAAAGAGGCGAAACAGGAAACGAAGCAUCUUCACAUUUUGGUAACAGCUGAUCCUAGUAUUUAAUUAGCCAGAAAAACAAAAAAGAGAGAAAAGCUUCAAGCCUCCUGUAAAGCAGAGUAAAUUCUACCAUCAACUUCAAUCAAUUAUGUUUAACUUCAAAUCUUGCUGAUUAAAGAAUUGAACACAUUGGCUUGAAAGAACUUGAACCCCAUCAGCAGCAACAACACUUUCAUUCAAUACCUCGGCUGGACCAACUUUCUCUUCAAUAGACUGCUCCUUGUUAUUCUUUCGACCUUUUGAAUCGUCCUCAUUGUCAGAUUCAUCAGAGUCUGACUCUGAUGUCUCGGUAGAAUAGUCAGAGCCUUCAUUCUCCUGUGGUGCCAUUGUCUCUUCUGCUGUUAAAUCAACCGUCAGAAUUUCAUCAUUCAAAUCAUUUGGUGUGGUACCAGCAAGUCGAGUUAAAAUGAGAUAAUGCGCUACUGAUUUGAAUCCCGUUGCAACAAUCUUUGAGUGUGGAACAUUAAUUGGUUGCCAUCCCUUUGAACGACGACAGCGGCUGCAGUUACAUAUAUCUCGACAAGCUGGACACAGCCAUGUUGGAUUUUCGACAGCUCCUGAACAUUUUCUCCAUACCUUGUGUACAAACAAACUCCACAAAGAUGCCCCUGAGCAGACCUACAUUUGCCGCAAUAGAACAACAAUUAUGGCAAAAGAUUUUAUAGCUCUUAUGGAUCAUUUGGGUUGGAAGAAAGCUCAUGUGUGUGGACAUUCAAUGGGUGGUAUGAUAGCUUGCAAGGUGGCAGCUUUAGUACCUGAUCGAGUAAAAUCAUUAAUUAGCUUUGCUUAAUGUAACUGGAGGAGGGUUUCAAUGUCUUCCAAAGGUAUGCAUCAUGUCAAUUCCACCUAAAAAUCAUGUGUUAUCCUCAUGAUCGGUAGUGCGCUUAUUGAAUUGCUAAGCUGAGCUUAGGUCUGUACUAGGAUGAUUAGUGAGCUGCUGAAAUGAGGAAAGACUAGAGACUGAAAGAGUCAAAUUAGUGAAGUCCUUUUGAUCUUGAGAAUACAGAAAGUGUAUAUGCCAAUAGUUUUGGCCUUUGGGUAUUGUACUCCAGUUUUCCAUAAUAAGCUUUAGGUUUUUUUUUAAUCAUACUUUGCUCACCUAUCUGAUUUUUUUAUACAACAUGUUUAUUUCU
Long non-coding RNA from Beta vulgaris subsp. vulgaris (sugar beet), 1466 nucleotides. RefSeq lists it as uncharacterized. The record is from RefSeq and is a predicted model, not a curated record. Lineage: Eukaryota; Viridiplantae; Streptophyta; Magnoliopsida; Caryophyllales; Amaranthaceae. The transcript has 3 exons.